Non-coding RNA from Schistosoma curassoni, 45 nucleotides. Lineage: Eukaryota; Metazoa; Platyhelminthes; Trematoda; Strigeidida; Schistosomatidae. The record is from Rfam.
AUUCAGAUGACGAGUCUCAAACAGGAUGAAAUGCGUAUGCUAGAU